Molecule: ribosomal RNA, 440 nt
Filed under: uncultured bacterium
Lineage: Bacteria
Description: partial 16S ribosomal RNA
Rfam family: Bacterial small subunit ribosomal RNA
Source: RNAcentral
CCUACGGGAGGCAGCAGUGGGGAAUAUUGCACAAUGGGGGAAACCCUGAUGCAGCGACGCCGCGUGAGUGAAGAAGUAUUUCGGUAUGUAAAGCUCUAUCAGCAGGGAAGAAAAUGACGGUAUCUGACUAAGAAGCCCCGGCUAACUACGUGCCAGCAGCCGCGGUAAUACGUAGGGGGCAAGCGUUAUCCGGAUGUACUGGGUGUAAAGGGAGAGUAGACGGCAGCGCAAGUCUGGAGUGAAAUGCCGGGGCUUAACCCCGGAACUGCUUUGGAAACUGUGCAGCUAGAGUGCAGGAGAGGUAAGUGGAAUUCCUAGUGUAGCGGUGAAAUGCGUAGAUAUUAGGAGGAACACCAGUGGCGAAGGCGGCUUACUGGACUGUAACUGACGUUGAGGCUCGAAAGCGUGGGGAGCAAACAGGAUUAGAUACCCGAGUAGUC